AACGACCCUCGUCAGUGGGCAUGGGAUGGCAGCAAUGGCGCAGUCUUUGCUGAGACCGUUCUUCUUUUACAUCCAGACGAAGCUGCGAUUCAGGCCAGGAAGGCCGGGACAACAGGGAAAGAUGUCCGCGAAUCAAAGAGCCGACCAAAAACAAGACAAGCCUCACAGCCCAUCCAUGCUCAGGCUCUCUUUGCAAACGAGGAGGAAAGAGAGAGGCGUAUAUAAAAGAGGGAUCGGCGUCAGUCGGCUGCUGGAGAUUCUCCGUGGUUUCUCAGGGACGAGCCAUGAAAGUUCUGGUGCUUGCCUUGGCGUUCUCUUGCCUAGUCGCCACCGUUGUGGCGGGCGGUUUCUACCACUUCGGUGGUGGCUACGGAGGUGGCCACGGAGGUGGCCAUGGUUACGGCCAUGGUUACGGGCAUGGAGGUCAUGGAGGCCACGGCUUCGGAUCCAGCGGCCUGUUUUUCGUGAAAGGACCUGGUGGAUACGGCCACGGCUUCCACGGCCUCGAGGCUGUUAAGGGUCCCACGUACUUUGUCAGCACGGAACAAUACGUUAAGAAGAUUCACCCUGGGCUCGCCAUCGUUGGCAAGCACCACCGCUAGCAUCUUUGUAUGACCCAUCUCGCGAUCUUGAAAGUCAGCGUGCCGGUAUCACCCCCUGAGUGAAUCUUCUUGAGAGUAUGGACCGCAUGGCCAGAAGACUGAGGUUGCAUUAACUUGUUUGUUUGUAUUUUUAUCCUAACACAUAAACCAAAUCCCUACGGACUCAGUCGUCGCCAGCACCAGUUCUCACUUAAUCACUGUUUCAUGUUCAUUGUACGUCACAGUUUUGAAUGAUUUUACACUGUUGUAAAUAGUAUCUGCAUUAAAAAAAAGAAAAUCUUGUUAUAACAACCAUUCUCGUGUUUCGUGGACCUACGAAAGAAUG
This is an RNA transcript of Dermacentor albipictus, 927 nucleotides long. RefSeq lists it as uncharacterized. The record is from RefSeq and is a predicted model, not a curated record. Lineage: Eukaryota; Metazoa; Arthropoda; Arachnida; Ixodida; Ixodidae.